Chinchilla lanigera (long-tailed chinchilla) is the source of this 7595-nucleotide long non-coding RNA. RefSeq lists it as uncharacterized. Lineage: Eukaryota; Metazoa; Chordata; Mammalia; Rodentia; Chinchillidae. The record is from RefSeq and is a predicted model, not a curated record. The transcript is spliced from 3 exons.
GGGGAAGUCUCCAUGAAUACUGCUGCUGCUGCCCUCUCUACUGUCACUGGAGAUGUUCGAACAGUGGUCCAGCUCAUCUGAGCAGGGCCUAAUACACUGCUAGUGUGAAACGUUCGGCUAUGAACUGAAGAUGAAGAAAUCAUGUGAGCAUUCCCACCUUUACGAUCCACUGAUGAGAAAAUGAAGCACUGAAGAUUGGGUAACUCUGCAAAGAAGGCCAGCUGAGCAGGAUGAAAGAGCUGGAAUCCAAACCAUGUCAUCAGAUGCCACACGGGUCAUAUUUUCAACAGUUUUUUUUUUUUUUUUUUCAAGAGACAAAAUAUUCAUUUUAUUUUUGAACUUUACCUCAAUUUUUAUCUUUCAUUAGUAUGUGUUUGCAGGACAUAAUGAUUACACGCCUUGUGGAAAGUUGGUGGAUGUAAAUAAAACAUCUUAAUUCCCUUUAUCCACUCCCCCCCAUCUCUUGGCCCCUUCCCAUUUGGGAAAGAUCUGUCUCCCUAUUCCUUAUUAUCUAUCUUUCAUUUUGCUCUUCAUUUAUACUUUGGGUCUCAGCAGCUGUUUUAGACAGAAGGCUAAUGGCAUAAGCGCCGCGGGUGCAUCCUUGGACUGCCCUUGGCCCCUGAGGUACGUGAGCCACUGCCUCAGUGGUGGUGUGGAAACCUUCUGUAGAGUUCUACUUCCAUCACUGACAUAGUCAGAGACCACCACAGGGCUUCAGGACAGGAAGCGUCCUAGGCCCUUACCUGCUACUCAUUAAAAGUAUGAUUUGCAUUUUCUUCUAAGACAGUCAGGGUCUUAAAAGCCAUGACUCUUCAUUUGGGGCUACAGAUGCCCCAGUAGGUAACUAAGAACUUGACCUUCAUUUUGUAUCCUUUGUUACUGUAAAUCUAUGGGCCAAAUUCCUUCCCAGCUCUGCCAAUGGGUAUGUUGAUCAUUUAGGGAAUGUCUAAAAGUUGGCAAAAUAAGGUCGCUUUGCUCUGAAUUUACACGAUAUCAUCCCCCUCAAAACUGAGGACACCAAGAUAAGACAUUUACAGGGACAUCCAAUUAUCCCCAGAAGCCUUCAGCCAUCAUCCUAGCCAUCUACUGUGAUCGCCUGGAUUCCAGGAAAAGCAGAGCGCCACGUGAGUGAAACCAGCACAGACACUCAUUUCAAGGGAACAAACUGCCCUUCAUGCCACAAGGGUUCCAGAACCAGGAAAGCAGGACUGCGACAAUGACCCACUGGACCCCAGCCCGCCGGCUCCUUCCAAGCUGGCCUCCUCCCCUUGGGAGUGGGCCAAUCUGGACCCUUCCACCCGAAUGUGCCUCUCCCAUCUGUUCAAACUGCAGUCCUUUCCUACCAGUCUUACUCUUCUUUGCAGAGGGCUGACUUGAUGCUUGCCAGCCCCUCACGCUACAGCCCCUCACCACUUCGCCCAUUUUCUAAUGAAAGCUUUCUCCUGUAAAUGUGUGCUUUAGUUUUAAUUUCCAUUAUUAUCAAAGGCAAGGAGCCACACAGGCUGACGAUAGGUUCUGGCACUGAACGCGGGGCUGUUCCAGCCCGCUACAGGGUUUGCCUGGACCCCGGCACUGACUGAGCACUCGUUAUCACACGCCCUGGAUGCACAGUGUUCCCAGGGGCAAAACCAGCCCUUCAGUUGGUCUUCCAAUCCUUCUUUUCCCCUUUCCCUGACUCCACCUUGUUAAAUUCCCUCGGAACAUCAGGGAAUUAGUUAGUACUUUCACUAACUGGCAACUGUAGGGUCUAUCCACAGGAUGCACGCUAGGCAGCACAUAGCAAGGGUUGCCAAUCCGGGAUACUCCUGGGACAAGCGGUCCCAGAACUGAGAAGGCCAAGAGCAAAGAAGGCAGGUACUCUGCUGGGACACAGGAAUGCCUGCUCCUCAGAAUGACGGAGCAGCACCACUGCUUCCAGCAUGGGUGCUGCUACUGCUUAGCAGUACCUUGUGCCCACUACUGGCUAAGGCUUUACAAACCUGAUUUCAGGGGGUCGGGGCCCCCCAGGCCCUUCCUUUUCUCUCUGCCUAUGUGAAGGCAUCAAAUAAUUUCCCCCUCUUCCUCAAACAGCAGAAAAACAUUACUGAGAAUCCAAGAGAAAAGAAAACAACUCUCAAAAGUUGAAAACACAACAGCAUGCAAAUGAACUGAGUCCACAGAGCAGGCUCUGGGGUUCACCUCUCAUGGGGAGAAACCUCAGAGAGGGCCAGGACAGGACGGGUCUCUUUCCCAGCCCAUGCCCGUAUUUGCAGGAGCCUCCUGGACUAUACAGUUCAGGAAUACACUCAAUACAUACUUGUUGAAUGAAUAAAAGAUCAUUUCCUGAAAGUAAAAUUGACAUACAAGAGCUGAUUAAGGGUAUGUCUUGAUAUAUGAAAUUAUGAAUUUAUAGAUUCUUCUUCAAGUAUAAAACUUACUUAGGGACCCCUAGCUCCUGAUAUCAGUACCUCAGAAUCAUCAUCAUGGUGGGAAAAGGUGAACUGUAGGGAAUCAGGAUAACCCAGGCUUAGGCAGGCUGUUCUCACUUAUGCCCCCUGUCCCCACCUGAGGGUAAGGCGGCACCCCAGUGAUAAAGGUUGGUCUUCCCAAGCUCAGUGGCCAGGCCUGAGGACAGAGCCGUCACCCACACAACUUUGAGCUGCCGGCUUUUGCCUGCAGUGAGUGCUGGUAGAUCACCCCAAAUUCCGCCUAAGAAGAGCUAGAGCACAGGGGCUCCAGUGGUGGUUUGCAAAGUUUUGGCAUUAGCUGCCUGUUUUUAAAAAUGCAAGCUCAUCUAAGCUGCUUUAAUUUUGAAUUUCUUAAAUAAAAGUAAACCUGCCCUUUUUCUGAACAUCUCAUUCCCUGUCCACCUCCUUCCCUUUAGCUGCAUUUUCUGACUUUGCCCCUUGGUGUAACACCAAAUGUCCUCUUGUCUGUACAAUACCUUCACUGGAGAGUGACUUGGCAGCAGCGCCCAUCCUGCUGCCCCAGCUGCCCAGUGAAUUGCCUCAGCCUUGGUAAAAGCUCCCUACCUACCCUCCUGAGUUCGUCUUCAUCCUCUCAUGACUCUCAGCCUUAGCUGGCCAGUUGUCCUUACACCUCCCUCCACCUCACCAGCUGUCAGGACUCACCACUCAGCCCGCCCACUGCCUGGCUGUCUUCCACCCAGUAUCACUGUUUGCUCCUGCUUCCCACAGAAAGACAAACUAGCACUCAGGAAAUCUGUCAGAAUGGAGUCACUACAGCCAAUUUUCUUUCUGAUACCAAAUUGGGCAAAACAAUGCUUUUUCCAGAUGUAUAACAUUUUAAAACAAUAUGUAAGAGCUCUGGGGCUACAUUUUCCAAAAAAGUGAUUUUGCUUGUUCCAUUGUUCAAAUGUAUCUUCUUGAGUUCAUAAUGCUGGAAAAAGAGAUUCUGCUUGCUCCAUUGUUCAAAGGGGAAGACUGAGGGCCAGUGAAUUGAUCUGCCCAAGGUCCUUGUUGAGAGAUGCGGUCCUAGCCUUGCCCUGAUUGAGAAAGGUGCAGUGAGGACUGGCAGCUACUGCUGGCAUAAUAAAACAAGCCAAACUCAGCUCGGUUCUGAGCAGCUUAGGUUGAUCCAGAUUUGAGUUCGCACAGAGCAAGCUGGGAGGAGACAACACAGAGAAUUCAGCCUCUAGGGAGAACUGCCUGCUGACUUUCAAGAGAAUUCAACAAGCAUAUGUUCCCUGGAAGAAUAAAGCGAGAGAACAGAGCAGUCACUAUAAGGCCAACCCCUCCCAGCUGCCCCAGCAGGUGGGCUCUGGAGGCAGUGGACAGAGUCCUGGAAAAGCAGAUUCCAGUCUGACUCCAACAGGAAUAUGGACCAGCUGAGGAAAGCCUACAUCAUUUAAAAACUUAGAAACAAGCUAUUUCUCUCAGCUUCAAUUUCUUUCAUCUGCAGAACUAAUGGGCAUGAUAAAAGUGUCCAAGAAAUCCACAGCAAACCUGUUACCUACACAGAAGUCCCUGCUGGGCUCCAAACAUAUACAUUCACUGGCCUUCUCUGUGCCUCCACCUGGUUUUCCUCAGGCAUCUUCAAUCACCACAUCCCAAAUAAAAAUCGGUUCUGCCCUUCCCCAUCACGGAAGCCAGAGAGCCCACUGCAUCAGUCUCCUUCUCCCACCUUUACUCCCCAAAUCUAACCAGACACCAAGCCCUGCUUCCUGUCUGUCCUUCACAGAACCCCAUUAAUACCCCUGCUCACUGUCUCCCUCCCUGGCUACUGCCUCCUCUGCAAACUUGCAACAGGCACACCACCGCUUCCUCAGACUCAAGCCCUGACUCCUCCAGCCAUCUCUACAAGUCACUGCUGGUGACAUUUCCAGAAAAGAUCUCAUUCUGUCAAUCCACUUAAUACUUACUGAGCACCUACUACAUGUCAAUCGCUCCUAGGCAAAGAGAUUUGGCUGGUAACUAAAGAAAAACAUUCCACCCUCAUGAAGCUUGUAUUUACUGUUCAAACUACUUGAUGAUUUCAGGGAGGAAAAAGUAAAAAGUAACUGUUAAUUGUGGCUUUGGGAGAGCAAGUCUAGAUAAUCUUCUAGAAGUUUCAUUUUAUAACUUUUCAUACUGCAAGAAAAUUUUAUUUUUUUAUAUUUGUAAUAUGUUAUUGCUAUUCAGAGUUUACUUGCCACUAUAUAAAGCCUACCUUUCCUCCUCCACAAAGAAGAGGUGCUCACUUCCUUUUUGGUCCCCUCACUGCAUUUACCACACUAGAGGCUGGCUGCUAUUCACAAAUCUUUGUCACAGAUUACAGCUGAACCCUUUGUAGGCAGGUAGUUUAUUUUAUUAAUCUACCUUCAUAUGUCUGGUUCAACAAAUAUUUGUGAAUAAAUUAUUAUAAAAAAUGCCUAGAUAUUUCUGACAUAUUUUGCCCAGGGGAAUUUUGAAUGUUUCAUAUAAUUUUUGAAGUUUUAUGUUUUUAUGAUUUAUGUUUUGUUCUUAAACCAAGGCAAGGAGAGAAAGGACUCUGGCGUAUAGAACAGCCUAUCCUAGAGUGCCACCUGCUGACCGAACAGUAAAGCUCUUUUGGUUAGGCAAAGAAGGUAUCAGUGCUGGUCAAUGCUGCAAUGGUAGACAAUGACAAAAAUAAUCAGUAGCUCUCACUACUAAUUUGUAUGUCUGAAAAUGCUAGGUAGACAACACACAGAACUGGACAAAUACUGUGAUGGUAACUAUAAAAAUAUAUUCUUAAAGCAAUGAUGGGUCAUUGUAUUAGGAUAUUAGAACUAUGGGUGAAUUUCUUCCUCACCGUUCUUAAGGUCUGUUAAUGUUGUGACACUUAAUCAAUGCUAGUUAAUUAACUGACAAACUUCAAACCAUCCAAGAAUGAAAGUUGGUUUAAAAUAAUAUCACUUCACCAACUGGCACAAAGUUGUGAACCUGGGCCACCUGUGACUGCUCUUUCUUCUUUCCCUGGGUGAGGUCAGUGCAGCCAACAUUUCCUUCAAUGUCACCCUCCUCCAAUAGCAAAAGGGGUCAGGUUCAGUGUGUAAGGUGCCUUCCUCAGUGCUAAGCAAGCUGGAUUCCAGUUAAUUAGAAUGUAUAGAUCUAUUCAUUUGUCCACUAAGCAUUUACUACACUCUUCCAUUUGGGCCUGGCAGCCCACUAGGCCUGCUUCCUCACCAAUCCCAAUAUGGGAAAUCUUACAUAUUUAAACAAAAUGGAAGAACACCAAACCGAUGACUGAAAAAAACCCAAAGAGGAGAAGAGCACAAGGAAAAGACUGAUCGUUUCCUGCCAUGUAUUUCAGAAGAGCGGGCUAUGCCUGAAAAACAGAAGGCUUUAGAGACCUAUUUCAAUAAGACACAUAAGAAUGGUGGGUAAAUUAACACACCAAAUAUCUUUAUGGACAAUCAGAAAGUCUGAAAACACUUUGCUCUUCUAACUGCUUUACACUAGUCCCUGUCAAUCCUACCAAUCCAAUAUUACAAAUACUUGCUUACAUUGUUUUACAAUAGCUCAAAACCAGAGAAACUAUGUCUUCUGCUAACUACAUUAGAAUCAGAACACUCCCCAUAACUGCGGUAGAACAGUAGGCAUCACACUGCCUCAAUGUCCCCAUUUCUCUGCUGUUACAUAGGAUACUGAAAAUAAUGGCCAAUGAUAUAACGCAGUAAGUGCUCGACAAACUAUUGCAAUUAUUUCACUAGAGAUUUGUGCUCCUAACAUUGAUGGCCCACAGUAAGUACUUUCCCUUCCAAAUUUUUCUUUCUUUUUUUUUGGUACUGGGAAUCGAACUCAGGACCUUGCGCUUGCCAGGCAGGCACUGUGCCAUGGAGCUGUAUCUCCACCCCCAAACUUUUUUUGUAUGUGUGUGUGACCCUCCAGGGCUUCCCACAUGCGAGGCAAGCGCUCUACCCAGAUCUAUACUCCCAGCCUGUCUUCUAAAUACUUCUAGUGCUUAAAUCCUACUUCAUUUAUUUGCCACUUUGCCCUUCCAUUUAUACUCAUUUUGUGUGUGAGUGUGUGUGCCUUGCCCCCAAAACUAUUAAGGGAUUACAUCUACAUCUCUAUUACAAUAACAACCAAAGCGUCUUAGCCCAGCAGAGCUAAGGAGUUCACUGAGCUGGCCACUCAGUCUGGAAGCAAUCUUUUCCAUCUUGUGCAUUUUAGGGAGACAAGGGUGAGGAAACGGUUGACACUGGGCAAUCCUGAAAUAGCAAGGGCGAGAAGUGAUCUGGUUUAGAAGUCCAAUCAGGCACUGUGCAGUCAAGCUUGUCAAAGUGACAAGCUAAAAACAAACAGGCAGCUUGGGGACCAAGGAGAAUUUGGUGGGAGCACGAGGAAGGCUUUUAUCUGCAGGUAACCUGAGGUCACCUGGUCAACUUCAUCUCUAAAAGUGCAUCUGCAGUACCUACAAGACCUGUGCCUUGUUGUUACCCUUAGAGCAGAAGACACAAUUCCACUGGAAGCUCUUUAACAGAGUAGGCUCAAAGAGCAGCGUGGGGGGAGAAGGUAUGCGGGGGGUCCUGGUGCUACAUUUCACCUCUUACUCUUCUGUAUCCUAUUAGUGACCUGGUCACCACCCCUGCAGUAGGUACAAGAGAAUUUAUACCCUGCUUCUCCGAGGUAGGAAUUACCCUCUAAGGCAGGUAACUGUUCCUUCUAGUUGCUAUCUUAAUAUAUCUCUUUAAUUUCUUCUUAAGCUACUGGAUAUAUUAAUCACAAAGCACACAUAUUUAUAGUAGAAAAGUUAACAAAAUGGAUAUAGCUAGAGCCUUAGAUCACUAUCUAAAAUGAUUAAAGCUUUUCCAUUUUUCCCACUGAAAUACCCAAAUCCUAGCAGAAUGACUUUCAAGUGAAACUCCUCCUGCUCUGGCAAGCAAGGUUUUGUAGAACAUGUCCAAAUGACCAUACUAUUUGCCUCCCCUCAAAAAAAUCCAUAAACUCAACCUCACUAUCUGUCCCUCCACUUCAUACCAAGUUCAGCCCAUUCCAGUUACACUCCGUCUCCCAAGAAUUCAGAAGAGACCUCUGAUUCUAAACAUAGACAAAUAACCUCAUAUUCUAAAGAUAAAGACACUAACAGAGGUGGAAAACUUAUCAAAAGUAAUAGGAAUCAUCACAAAAUUAAUUUGAAAGAGGAGGAGGGAA